This 90-nucleotide transfer RNA is filed under the name Candidatus Omnitrophica bacterium CG11_big_fil_rev_8_21_14_0_20_63_9. RNAcentral describes it as "tRNA-Ser". It matches the Rfam family "tRNA". Rfam says of the family: Transfer RNA (tRNA) molecules are approximately 80 nucleotides in length. Their secondary structure includes four short double-helical elements and three loops (D, anti-codon, and T loops). Further hydrogen bonds mediate the characteristic L-shaped molecular structure. tRNAs have two regions of fundamental functional importance: the anti-codon, which is responsible for specific mRNA codon recognition, and the 3' end, to which the tRNAs corresponding amino acid is attached (by aminoacyl-tRNA synthetases). tRNAs cope with the degeneracy of the genetic code in two manners: having more than one tRNA (with a specific anti-codon) for a particular amino acid; and 'wobble' base-pairing, i.e. permitting non-standard base-pairing at the 3rd anti-codon position. The record is from RNAcentral. Lineage: Bacteria; Pseudomonadati; Candidatus Omnitrophota.
GGAGAGGUGGCUGAGUGGUUGAAAGCGCUGGUCUCGAAAACCGGUAGGGUCGUAAGACCCUCGAGAGUUCGAAUCUCUCCCUCUCCGCCA